AUACCUUUCUCGGCCUUUUGGCUAAGAUCAAGUGUAGUAUCUGUUCUUAUCAGUUUAAUAUCUGAUACGUGGACCAACGGUUCACACGAUAUUAAAUUAAUUUUUUUAAGGAGUGAGUCCACUACAAUAGCUUGCUAUUGGGGCGCACAAGUGUCAUCUUUGCGUUGCACUACAGCAAAGCUUGGCGCACCCUAC
Molecule: small nuclear RNA, 195 nt
Filed under: Rosa chinensis
Lineage: Eukaryota; Viridiplantae; Streptophyta; Magnoliopsida; Rosales; Rosaceae
Description: sRNA RchiOBHm_Chr4g0425241
Rfam family: U2 spliceosomal RNA
About the family: U2 is a small nuclear RNA (snRNA) component of the spliceosome (involved in pre-mRNA splicing). Complementary binding between U2 snRNA (in an area lying towards the 5' end but 3' to hairpin I) and the branchpoint sequence (BPS) of the intron results the bulging out of an unpaired adenosine, on the BPS, which initiates a nucleophilic attack at the intronic 5' splice site, thus starting the first of two transesterification reactions that mediate splicing.
Source: Rfam by way of RNAcentral